RNAcentral lists this ribosomal RNA (726 nucleotides) under Triticum aestivum (bread wheat). RNAcentral's name for it is "partial small subunit ribosomal RNA". The record is from RNAcentral. Lineage: Eukaryota; Viridiplantae; Streptophyta; Magnoliopsida; Poales; Poaceae.
AUGUUCUAUAACCAUGUGAGCACGGGAGGUGUUUAUCGUCACAAGCAGCAUGUGGCUCAUAUUGGUAAUGUUGUGGUCAAAUGCAAGAAAAGCUCUCAGGAAGCUAAAGACAGGUGCAAGAAAUCUCUUGAGGAUGCAUCUAAUAAGAGGAGGGAAAAGACUGCCCGUGAGCAAGAGCUUAGACAAAGUGUGAACAUUUCUCGCGUUGGAGAUGAAGAAGCUGCUCAUAUCGGAAGCACAGAGCCACACAAAUUAGGUCCUAUUGACAAGUGGGCACAGCCUAUUGAUCCUAAAUUGACUCAAGCUGAAGCCUUGCAUCAACAGAAGAUAAACAAGGAAUUUUGGAAAAAGAGAACACAUGAAGUGCAACAGUAUGUGGCUAGAUGGGUGUACAAUCAUGCUAUACCAUUCAAUGCUUGUGACAACGAUGAUUUCAAGUUAAUGUGUGAAGCCAUUGGGAGGUUUGGUCCUGGAUUUGAGCCGCCAUCUAAACAUGACCUUCGAGAGACUUUGCUGAGUGAGGAACAUGCAAGAGUGAAGAGUUUGCUGCAAGAACGUGAUGCUGAAAAGAUGAAGAAUGGCUGCUCCAUUAUGACUGAUGCUUGGUCAGAUAGGAAGAGGAGAAGCAUAAUGAACUUGUGCACAAACAAUGCUGAUGGUUCUAGUUUUAUAAGUUCGAGUGAGAUGUCGGCUGUAUCGACACAAGUGAAGUCAUCUUCCAAUUAG